UGGGGAAUCUUGCACAAUGGGGGAAACCCUGAUGCAGCGACGCCGCGUGAACGAUGAAGCCCUUCGGGGUGUAAAGUUCUUUCGACAGGAACGAUAAUGACGGUACCUGGAGAAGAAGCUGCGGCUAACUACGUGCCAGCAGCCGCGGUAAUACGUAGGCAGCGAGCGUUGUUCGGAGUUACUGGGCGUAAAGAGUGCGUAGGCGGCGAGCCAAGUUUGGUGUGAAAUCUCCCGGCUUAACCGGGAGGGUGCGCCGAAAACUGGUUGGCUGGAGUAUGGGAGAGGAAAGCGGAAUUCCUGGUGUUGCGGUGAAAUGCGUAGAUAUCAGGAGGAACACCUGCGGUGUAGACAGCUUUCUGGACCAAAACUGACGCUGAGGCACGAAAGCGUGGGUAACAAACA
RNAcentral lists this ribosomal RNA (402 nucleotides) under uncultured bacterium. Its description in RNAcentral is "bacterial SSU rRNA". It matches the Rfam family "Bacterial small subunit ribosomal RNA", at positions 355 to 774 of the family's 1533-position model. The record is from RNAcentral.